This 759-nucleotide ribosomal RNA is filed under the name uncultured bacterium. RNAcentral describes it as "bacterial SSU rRNA". It matches the Rfam family "Bacterial small subunit ribosomal RNA", at positions 73 to 842 of the family's 1533-position model. The record is from RNAcentral.
CUUUAGUUUACUAUAGAAGCGGUUAGUGGCGGACUGGUGAGUAACGCGUAAGCAAUCUGCCUAUUAGAGGGGGAUAACAGUGAGAAAUCACUGCUAAUACCGCAUAAGCUGUGAAUAUCGCAUGAUAUGAAUAGAAAAGGAGUAAUCCACUGAUAGAUGAGCUUGCGUCUGAUUAGUUAGUUGGUGAGGUAACGGCCCACCAAGACGAUGAUCAGUAGCCGGACUGAGAGGUUAAACGGCCACAUUGGGACUGAGAUACGGCCCAGACUCCUACGGGAGGCAGCAGUCGGGAAUAUUGCGCAAUGGAGGAAACUCUGACGCAGUGACGCCGCGUGCAGGAAGAAGGUUUUCGGAUUGUAAACUGCUUUAGACAGGGAAGAAAGAAAUGACGGUACCUGUAGAAUAAGCUCCGGCUAACUACGUGCCAGCAGCCGCGGUAAUACGUAGGGAGCAAGCGUUAUCCGGAUUUAUUGGGUGUAAAGGGUGCGUAGACGGGUAUACAAGUUAGUAGUGAAAUCCCUCGGCUUAACUGAGGAACUGCUACUAAAACUAUAUAUCUUGAGUACUGGAGGGGAAAGCGGAAUUCCUAGUGUAGCGGUGAAAUGCGUAGAUAUUAGGAAGAACACCGGUGGCGAAGGCGGCUUUCUGGACAGAAACUGACGUUGAGGCACGAAAGUGUGGGGAGCAAACAGGAUUAGAUACCCUGGUAGUCCACACCGUAAACGAUGGAUACUAGGUGUAGGUGGUGAUGAAUCAUCU